GGAGAGAUGGCCGAGUGGCUUAAGGCGCACCCCUGCUAAGGGUGAAUAGGUUAAACACCUAUCGAGGGUUCGAAUCCCUCUCUCUCCGCCA
Molecule: transfer RNA, 91 nt
Filed under: Gammaproteobacteria bacterium
Lineage: Bacteria; Pseudomonadati; Pseudomonadota; Gammaproteobacteria
Description: tRNA-Ser
Rfam family: tRNA
About the family: Transfer RNA (tRNA) molecules are approximately 80 nucleotides in length. Their secondary structure includes four short double-helical elements and three loops (D, anti-codon, and T loops). Further hydrogen bonds mediate the characteristic L-shaped molecular structure. tRNAs have two regions of fundamental functional importance: the anti-codon, which is responsible for specific mRNA codon recognition, and the 3' end, to which the tRNAs corresponding amino acid is attached (by aminoacyl-tRNA synthetases). tRNAs cope with the degeneracy of the genetic code in two manners: having more than one tRNA (with a specific anti-codon) for a particular amino acid; and 'wobble' base-pairing, i.e. permitting non-standard base-pairing at the 3rd anti-codon position.
Source: RNAcentral